RNAcentral lists this long non-coding RNA (569 nucleotides) under Phoenix dactylifera (date palm). RNAcentral's name for it is "long non-coding RNA (PDAC_LNC016751)". The record is from RNAcentral. Lineage: Eukaryota; Viridiplantae; Streptophyta; Magnoliopsida; Arecales; Arecaceae.
CCCGAAAAACCAAAGUGUAAAGGUUUUUGGAUUGUGAGCCCGGAAAACAAUCCAACUGUAAUCCGCAGGAUUAUAGUGAAUUCCCAAAGGGUCGCUUGGGAAGUAGACGUAGGUGCUUAUGAGAGCACCGAACCACUAUAUUUCUUGUGUGUUUGCAUUGUGUAUUGUCUUACUUUACUACAAUUACUUACUCAUCAAUUAACUCGAGUAAGGAAUCAAAAAGUUAGAAAAACCAAUAGAAAAACCAAUUCACCCCCCCCCCCCUCUUGGCUUGUCACCUUGGGCAACACUUUCUCAUAGAUUACAAGUCGACAAUGCCAACAAAUAAUCCUCAUUGCUAUGUGGGAACAAAAGGCAGGCUUCUAGAGAACACAUGGAUGGGUUAGCUCGGACUUGAGGGACAAAUGAGCUAAAGCCAAAGGAGAAGCCAAAGUAGCCGAGGACCCUUCCAUAAGGGGAAGGAACUUGAGUUGCUUUAGGAGGCAAUUAAUGCAUUUCGGGUUUUCACAAAGGAGACAUGAUGGAGAGGAGGUACAUUUUGGGUUCAGUCUAAAAAAAAACACUUUUAG